Non-coding RNA from Monodelphis domestica (gray short-tailed opossum), 1995 nucleotides. NCBI's taxonomy places the organism in Eukaryota, Metazoa, Chordata, Mammalia, Didelphimorphia, Didelphidae. The record is from RefSeq and is a predicted model, not a curated record.
UUAGCCACUUAAUAUCUUUAUUAAUUUAAUACCUCUAGAAAGUCACAACCUCAUUGUGGCUCAUUUUUCUCUUUAAUAUAAUAACAAAUUAGAUCAAAUCAUCUCUGAGGUUUCAUCUAGUCUAAGAUUUCCUGUAGUAACAACCUAGAUCCUAGUUUCUUAUGGUUUACCUAAAGAAGGAUAUGAAAUGGUCUGGAAUUUGAGGGCAAUAUCUGAAACUAGUAAUUGAAAGAAAUGAAUCAAAAAAUCUUUAAUUUAGACAUUGAGAGAAAAACUUUUCCAUGGCCAUAUAUAUAUGUAUCUUAAGGUCUCAUCCCAUUUGAUCUAGAAGAACCCCAUAUGGUGCCACCAUGUGGUACUUAGAAAGGAGAGAAGCAAUUGAAGCAAGAGAUUGUUGUUAUUUGGGGUAAGAGAAGCAUUUCAGAUGAACAGGGGAACCAGAUUUGUGUAUUUAAAAUUUCAUUCAUUAUAUUCAUUAACCUGUAAGAUAAAUUCCAGAUUAAUCUGAUUUCCAAAGUGUUACAUGGUUCUCCUCUGUGAACAGUUUCCAACUCAGCAAAUAGUUAUUGAGUGCCUAUUAUGUUCAGGGUCUUCCGCCAGGUACUCUGGAGAAUACCAAAAAGAGUAAGAGGGACCUCCAGGUCUUCCUAAUUCUUAAGACUGGUUUAUGUCAGGUGGCCUUUGUUUAUGUCCCCAAAAAGACUAUAGUGGUCUAAUAGAAGGACAUCCUGACAUAAAUCAUUCUAAGAGUCAGGAAGACCUGAAAAUCUCUUAAAGUCAGAAAGUUCCACUUCUGGGACUUUGUGACCCACAUUGGCUAUGUGACCCCAAGCAACUUUCUAAGAUCUAAAUUACAGAGCCAGUGCUCAUCUGUACUGACCCAGCAAGUUCUGACAGAACCUCUCAACAAUGAUGAAAUCACAGUAUUGGUUUUAAAAAAUAAAACCUAGGGAACAAAUAUGCAACAAUAAAAAAUGGAUUUAAGUUGGUGUGCUCAUGGCUUUGCUACCUAAGCUUCCUUAGCUGUAUUAAUAUACAUGCUUCCUUGAUAGCUCUGGAGUUAUCCACUGGGCUUUUUUUUUUUUUUUACAGAAAUUCUUAACAGAUUUAUAUAAUUUAGAAGUUAGGAUCAUAGAUUUAGAACUGGAAGAGACUUAGAAGUUACCUCACCUAACUCCCUUAUUUUAUAAAUUAAAAAAACACCAAUAGAGAAAAGACUUGUCUAAGGCCUCUUAUAAUUGGUGAUAGGACUGGGAUCCAAAUCUACAUCUUCUGACUAAAAAUUUUCUUCUUCACCUGAUGUAUAGCCUGUUACAUGGGAAGCAGAGAUAUUUCAAAGUGAGGAUGAUUGAAACAGAGUUUAGAGUUACUUGUCAGAGAUCAGAAGAAUACAUGCAAGAGGCUGGAGAUCCACAGUACAGAGAUGAUCCUCAAACACUGUGUCAAGGCAAGCCUGCGUUCCGAGAGGAUCUAUCAAACUUCAGGACUUAUUUCCAUGGCUCAUGGCUCACCUCAGAGAAAGGCACGAAAAUGGGAAGCCAAGUGUGGAGAGAGAGUGAAAGGAAUUCCCUAAGAACUGGAAUAUUCAGUGGGAAGUAUUGAGUGAAUGCCCCUCUCCAGUGAACAACAGCAAAAGUAAAUCCGCAUUAUGAAUACACAUAAUACAGAAAAAAAGAUAUUCACAUUGACCGUGCUCCAAUAUACUUCCAUCUGGAUUGAAAUUCACCUCUCUGGAGGAGGUGAGUGGUGUGUUUCAUCUUCAGGCUUCUGGACUUGUGAUUUGUCUUUACAUUGAUCACAUUUCUAAAGUCUUUCAGAGUAUGUAUUUCAUAUUUUCUAAAGUUUGGCUUGACUUGGGUCAAAACUAGAAGGAAUAGGUCCAAGGAGCAGAGCAGGAGAUUUAGGCUAUUUCCUACCAAUAGUUACAUUAACAUAGAAUGGGUUACUUUAGGAAGUGGUGAGUUCUCCCUCACUUGAUGUCUUCAAGACAAACCU